AGAGUUUGAUCCUGGCUCAGAACGAACGCUGGCGGCGUGCCUAACACAUGCAAGUCGAACGUGAAAGUCCUUCGGGAUGAGUAAAGUGGCGCACGGGUGAGUAAUGCGUAGAUAAUCUGCCUGGUGAUCUGGGAUAACAUCUCGAAAGGGGUGCUAAUACCGGAUAAGCCCACGGAGUCUUCGGACUUUGCGGGAAAGGGGGGGACCUUCGGGCCUUCUGUCACCAGAUGAGUCUACGUACCAUUAGCUAGUUGGUGGGGUAAGAGCCCACCAAGGCUACGAUGGUUAGCUGGUCUGAGAGGAUGAUCAGCCACACUGGAACUGAGACACGGUCCAGACUCCUACGGGAGGCAGCAGUGGGGAAUUUUGCGCAAUGGGGGAAACCCUGACGCAGCAACGCCGCGUGAGUGAUGAAGG
Molecule: ribosomal RNA, 417 nt
Filed under: uncultured bacterium
Lineage: Bacteria
Description: bacterial SSU rRNA
Rfam family: Bacterial small subunit ribosomal RNA
Source: RNAcentral